RNAcentral lists this ribosomal RNA (440 nucleotides) under uncultured bacterium. RNAcentral's name for it is "partial 16S ribosomal RNA". It matches the Rfam family "Bacterial small subunit ribosomal RNA", at positions 338 to 795 of the family's 1533-position model. The record is from RNAcentral.
CCUACGGGUGGCAGCAGUGGGGGAUAUUGCACAAUGGGGGAAACCCUGAUGCAGCGACGCCGCGUGGGUGAAGAAGCGCCUCGGCGCGUAAAGCCCUGUCAGCAGGGAAGAAAAUGACGGUAUCUGAAGAAGAAGCCCCGGCUAACUACGUGCCAGCAGCCGCGGUAAUACGUAGGGGGCAAGCGUUAUCCGGAUUUACUGGGUGUAAAGGGGGAGCAGACGGCGAAGCAAGCCAGGAGUGAAAUCCCGGGGCCCAACCCCGGGACUGCUCUUGGAACUGCGUGGCUAGAGUGCAGGAGGGGCAGGCGGAAUUCCUGGUGUAGCGGUGAAAUGCGUAGAGAUCAGGAGGAACACCGGUGGCGAAGGCGGCCUGCUGGACUGCAACUGACGUUGAGGCCCGAAAGCGUGGGGAGCAAACAGGAUUAGAUACCCCUGUAGUC